Molecule: ribosomal RNA, 250 nt
Filed under: uncultured bacterium
Lineage: Bacteria
Description: partial 16S ribosomal RNA
Rfam family: Bacterial small subunit ribosomal RNA
Source: RNAcentral
UACGGAGGGGGCUAGCGUUGUUCGGAAUUACUGGGCGUAAAGCGCACGUAGGCGGCUUUGUAAGUUAGAGGUGAAAGCCCGGAGCUCAACUCCGGAAUUGCCUUUAAGACUGCAUCGCUUGAACGUCGGAGAGGUAUGUGGAAUUCCGAGUGUAGAGGUGAAAUUCGUAGAUAUUCGGAAGAACACCAGUGGCGAAGGCGACAUACUGGACGACUGUUGACGCUGAGGUGCGAAAGCGUGGGGAGCAAAC